Molecule: ribosomal RNA, 22 nt
Filed under: Fusarium chlamydosporum
Lineage: Eukaryota; Fungi; Ascomycota; Sordariomycetes; Hypocreales; Nectriaceae
Also listed under: 1 other name
Description: partial 28S ribosomal RNA
Source: RNAcentral
GCAUAUCAAUAAGGCGGAGGAA